RNAcentral lists this ribosomal RNA (416 nucleotides) under uncultured bacterium. Its description in RNAcentral is "bacterial SSU rRNA". It matches the Rfam family "Bacterial small subunit ribosomal RNA", at positions 355 to 768 of the family's 1533-position model. The record is from RNAcentral.
UGAGGAAUAUUGGUCAAUGGGCGCAAGCCUGAACCAGCCAUCCCGCGUGCAGGAAGACAGCGCUAUGCGUUGUAAACUGCUUUUCCAGGGGGAGAAACUUCCGUCCGUGUACGGAAUUGACGGUACCCUGGGAAUAAGCAUCGGCUAACUCCGUGCCAGCAGCCGCGGUAAUCCGGAGGAUGCAAGCGUUAUCCGGAUUCAUUGGGUUUAAAGGGUGCGUAGGCGGACUAUUAAGUCAGUGGUGAAAUCCUGCAGCUUAGAUGCAGAACUGAGAUUGAUACUGAUGGUCUUGAGUUUGGUUAAGGUAGGCGGAAUGUGUAAUGUAGCGGUGAAAUGCUGAGAUAGUACACAGAACACCAAUUGCGUAGGCAGCUUACUGAGCUGACACUGACGAUGAGGCACGAGAGCGUGGGGAU